This is a long non-coding RNA of Entelurus aequoreus (snake pipefish), 1455 nucleotides long. RefSeq lists it as uncharacterized. The record is from RefSeq and is a predicted model, not a curated record. The transcript is spliced from 4 exons. NCBI's taxonomy places the organism in Eukaryota, Metazoa, Chordata, Actinopteri, Syngnathiformes, Syngnathidae.
CACCUUCGACUCUCGGACUGCGCAAGAAUUAACAUAAUGGCGUCUUUAUUUCAAACGUCUUAUUCUUCCUUUGUCACUUCAAAACUAUCCAACUGUUUAACUUCACAAGUUUAUAGGCCGUGUCCGAGUUGAAGCCGGAGGAGAUGACGUAACGCCACCAAAUGUAAGUGAACCUUGGAGGCCACGAUGGCGACAAAGCACGCGCACUUCUGGACGGAGCAGUCGUGAGGGCCCCCGUCCAGUUUGCCAAGUGAGCUCUUUGCUGGGAUGUUGUGAUCGUCAGGACUUCCUGUCCGUGAUCCAAAGACUUGGAUGGAUACUAGCUGUCCCAAUUCAGGGUCUGCAUCUGAAUUUGAAGGCUGUCCCAAUUCAUUCAAACUCGAAAACUCCUCCAAAUGCACCCUUUUUCCCUAUCCUUCGUGGCCUCCCAUAUCCCAAGAUGCUUUGCGCGCCUUUGUUCAACCUGGCUCUCUUUGGCCACGGUGGCAAAGCAGCAGCACCCAAUACUUUGAAAUGAAAGUAUCCUCUGCAGGGUAGACUGUCCCAUUUAACGCAUCCUUCUGAAGCUGCGUAGGCCGGCAUCCUCUGAAGGAUGCAGACCCUGAAUUCGGGAUGGUUCCUGCUGGCCCCACCAUGGACUGGACUUUCGCUGAUGUGUUGGACUUUCACAAUAUUAUGUCAGACCUACUCCACAUCCAUUGCUUUCGGUCUCUCCUAGAGGGGGGGGGGUUACCCACAUAUGCGGUCCUCUCCAAGGUUUCUCAUAGUCAUUCACAUUGACGUCCCACUGGGGUGAGUUUUCCUUGCCAGUAUGUGGGCUCUGUACAGAGGAUGUCGUUGUGGCUUGUGCAGCCCUUUGAGACACUUGUGAUUUAGGGCUAUAUAAACAAACGAUUGAUUGAUUGAAUUGGGACACAGCUACUGAUUGAAAACAUGACUAACUUCAUUAAAUAAUACUUCUCAAUGAUCUGUGUACUUUUCUACAACUAUAUGCAAUACCGUGCGGGCUAACUUUCAUUUGUUGUCAUCUGCUGUCAUCUAGUGGAUGUUUUGUUGUACUGUUAAGUCAAUUUAAACUAGAAAGCUCAAUUGUCACUGGUAUUAUUAAUCAUAACACAUACAGUGGUGUGUGACAAAGUUAAACUUAGAUUUAAUUCAAGUAGAAUACUUGAUAAUCUGUAGUCUUAUACGACAUUAAGUCCAUUUAAUUCAUGCAUUUACAAUGUUUGUGUCCUACAGUUUCACCCUUUCAAUUGUCAAUAAACCUGGCCUCCCAUCAGUCAACCUGGUGUUCAGAGUUUUGACGAGCGGAAGGUGUUGAACUUACUGCCUUCGUGUAAAAGUGUGCUUAAGGAAGGUAGGAUAAAUACAAUUCAACAUACAAUAACACAUAUUGGUGUAAAAAUACAAUGUAAAGUUGAAUGACAUGUAGAUAUUUGUAAUUUUUUUAGAAUA